GACGAACGCUGGCGGCGUGCUUAACACAUGCAAGUCGAACGGGAUUUAGUAGACAGAAGCCUCGGCUAAAGAUUACUAAUGAGAGUGGCGAACGGGUGAGUAACGCGUGAGCAACCUGCCUAUGACAGUGGGAUAGCCUCGGGAAACCGGGAUUAAUACCGCAUAAAAUCGUAGAAACACAUGUUUUAACGGUCAAAGAUUUAUCGGUCAUAGAUGGGCUCGCGUCUGAUUAGCUAGUUGGUGAGAUAACAGCCCACCAAGGCGACGAUCAGUAGCCGGUCUGAUCGGAUGCACGGCCCCAUUGGAAAUGAGACACGGUCCAAACCCCCACGGGAGGAAGCAGGGGGGAAGAUGGCACAAUGGGGGCAACCCUGAUUCAGCGACGCCGCGUGAACGAAAAAGCAAUUCGAAACAUAAAGUUCUGUCCUAUGGGAAGACAAUGACAGUACCAUAGAAGAAAGCUCCGCCUAAAUACG
RNAcentral lists this ribosomal RNA (476 nucleotides) under uncultured bacterium. RNAcentral's name for it is "partial 16S ribosomal RNA". It matches the Rfam family "Bacterial small subunit ribosomal RNA", at positions 28 to 505 of the family's 1533-position model. The record is from RNAcentral.